UCUAGAUGUUCUAUCCAAGAGUGGGAGGCUCCCUCAAAGCUGGGACUUGCUAGGAGUGACAUCGUCACCGUGUCCAGUCACCGUGCUCCAGCCACAUAAACAAGUGACUGAAGAACCGUGCAGGCAGUUUGCUCAGCUGCAGCCAGUUCCCACUCACCACACCCAAUGUAGAAGAGAUGGGUGUUCUAAUCACAUUCCAAUUUGAACAGCUGCAUUCUAACACAAUAUUUCAGCUUUGAUUUCAACAGAUAAUGAUAAGCAUAUUUUACAGAAGCCUACAUUUUAAAUUGUCAAAGUGAAUAAAAAGGCUUGUCUCAGGAGCAAGUUACAGUUGCUUUCUGCCUGAAGCAAGUUGUGGUUUCAAGAGGACACCUACAAUAUCAGAUGGUGGGAUACAGAGGAAACUUUUUCAAUAUGAAUAUUGUCUGGCUGUGAAAAGCUACAGGAGAUGUUUCUACCCUCUUGGGACUGUUGAACAGAAUGCUGGUCUGUGUGCAGAAGACGCUGUUGGCUAGUUUUGAACAAAGUGAAAACCAAUGGAAUCUGAAUAGUGUGGUUGGCUGGAUGCAUUUUACAAGAUAUUGAGUGAGAUACUGUAGCAGAAUGAUAUCAUGCAACUGAAAGUAGGUGCCUAGAACAUGCUUUAGGCACUCUGAACUCGAGCAUUUGUGGAUGGUUGAGGAAAUCUCACUCCAUAAGCAUCUUUUGAAAUGUAUACACCAAGCAGACAAUACGGCCAUUGUAUUUUAGCUACCUUACACACCAUCCUUUAUGCUCUUAUUUGCAAGCAGAGGGAUAUGCAGGGUGUAUAUAUUGUGCCAGGUGUUCUAGUAAAAAUCUUCAACUAGAGUGUAUUGAGUGUCCAUGCAUCUGGGAAUGUAUUCUUGUAAAUACAACAACUGUUAAGAAACUGGUCUAUCUUUUAUACAGGUAAAUACAGGUUUCCCUCAGUUUUUAUGUGGGUUUUUUUAUGCGAUGAGCAUAUUUAGACCCAUAUUUCAUUAUGUGAGGUAAAUUCACUCUUGUGUGAUCAGCAUAGAUGCC
Molecule: long non-coding RNA, 1044 nt
Organism: Alligator sinensis (Chinese alligator)
Lineage: Eukaryota; Metazoa; Chordata; Crocodylia; Alligatoridae
Exons: 8
Source: RefSeq, a predicted model, not a curated record